Molecule: ribosomal RNA, 55 nt
Filed under: Sinobaca qinghaiensis
Lineage: Bacteria; Bacillati; Bacillota; Bacilli; Caryophanales; Sporolactobacillaceae
Source: RNAcentral
GUGCGCCGAUGAUAAUUGGGGGGCGACCCCCUGUGAAAGUAGGACGUUGCCGGGC